This 591-nucleotide ribosomal RNA is filed under the name Triticum aestivum (bread wheat). RNAcentral's name for it is "partial small subunit ribosomal RNA". The record is from RNAcentral. Lineage: Eukaryota; Viridiplantae; Streptophyta; Magnoliopsida; Poales; Poaceae.
AUGCUUGAAAAGACACAAAAUUCGAAGCAGCGAUCAAAAUCCUGCCAACUGCUGCAUCCAAGAACGAGCGGCAUACGAACAGGGAUGGAGGGACAACUCACUCAUAUCCUCCACCUCCUCCAGGUAAUCGUUGUAGUCUUUCAGCGACGGGAAGUGCUCCCGCGUCUUGUUGAAUCUGCGCCGGCAUCCACAGAAAAGGAAUCAGCCCUAGCAGCUUCGACAGCGGAAAUUUGUGCAGAGGAACCAGAGGAGAGGGAGGGAGGGAGCGCGCACAUACAUGCUGGACAUCCUCCGGCGGAGGGUCAUCUCCUUGGCCCACGCAUUCCCGCCGCCGCCCCCCACCACCACCAUCUCGCCAUCGCCGCCGCAGCCGCCGCCGACCGGACCGCGAGAUCGGCUGCCCUGGAGUCGCGCCGCGGUAAGUGGGCUAGGGUUCGUUACCGGAAGCAAAGCAGAAGGGGAGAGGCGGAGGCCCGUGUAUGCUAUAUUGAGAAACGCGAGGGCCGUUUGGCGAAAAGGGCAGGCGAUCGCAGAUGUGGGCCGCCCGAUCUUGAUCGGACGGCGGUGAGGAGCGCGUGCCCGUGCUUGUAG